This 397-nucleotide ribosomal RNA is filed under the name uncultured bacterium. RNAcentral describes it as "partial 16S ribosomal RNA". It matches the Rfam family "Bacterial small subunit ribosomal RNA", at positions 523 to 918 of the family's 1533-position model. The record is from RNAcentral.
AUACGUAGGGGGCGAGCGUUGUCCGGAAUGAUUGGGCGUAAAGGGCGCGUAGGCGGCCCGGUAAGUCUGGAGUGAAAGUCCUGUUUUUAAGAUGGGAAUUGCUUUGGAUACUGUCGGGCUUGAGUGCAGGAGAGGUAAGUGGAAUUCCCAGUGUAGCGGUGAAAUGCGUAGAGAUUGGGAGGAACACCAGUGGCGAAGGCGACUUACUGGACUGUAACUGACGCUUAGGCGCGAAAGUGUGUGGAGCAAACAGGAUUUGAUACCCUGGUAGUCCACACUGUAAACGAUGAAUGCUAUGUGUAGGGGGUAUCGACCCCUUCUGUGCCGCAGUCAACACAAUAAGCAUUCAGCCUGGGGAGUACGGUCGCAAGGUUGAAACUCAAAUGAAUUGACGGGG